Molecule: non-coding RNA, 24 nt
Filed under: Mus musculus (house mouse)
Lineage: Eukaryota; Metazoa; Chordata; Mammalia; Rodentia; Muridae
Source: RNAcentral
GGCAUGCUCUAAUGCCUCUCUCUC